UGGGAUUAAAUGUGUGCACUUCCCCCCAC
This 29-nucleotide non-coding RNA is filed under the name Rattus norvegicus (Norway rat). The record is from RNAcentral. Lineage: Eukaryota; Metazoa; Chordata; Mammalia; Rodentia; Muridae.